This is a non-coding RNA of Diceros bicornis minor, 2405 nucleotides long. The record is from the annotation of a RefSeq genome assembly. NCBI's taxonomy places the organism in Eukaryota, Metazoa, Chordata, Mammalia, Perissodactyla, Rhinocerotidae.
AGGGCGUUCACACCUCCGGGAACCAGCAUGAACUCCGAGGAGCAGGGCAGUGGACACGGAACGCGGGGCUGCGAGGAGCCACAUGUGCCUGGAGCCAGAGCACAGAGGGGGUGGGGAGUCCUCGGAGACCCAGGCUGGACUGAGGGGGAGCCGAGCACAUGACCCCACACUCGAGUGCGCCCGAUGCCCUGACUGCCCGAAGUGUCCCACAUGCCAAGUGUGCAAGAAAUGCCCUGACUGCCCGAGGUGUCCCACAUGCCAAGUGUGCCAGAAAUGCCCUGACUGCCCGAAGUGUCCCACAUGCCCAGUGCCCAAGCCAUGCCCUGUCUGCCCUCCGCCUCCAACAUGCCCAGGUCCUGAACUCCUGAUAGGGCCUUCGGUCUUCAUCUUCUCUCCUAAACCCAAGGACACCCUCACAAUCUCCCGAACCCCCGAGGUCACCUGCAUGGUGGUAGACGUGAGCCCGGAACAUCCCAAUGUCCAGUUCACCUGGUACGUGGACAAUGAAGAGGUGAACACGGCCACGACGAAGCCAAAAGAGGUACAGCUCAACAGCACCUACCGCGUGGUCAGCGUCCUCCCCAUCCAGCACCAGGACUGGCUGAGGGGAAAGGAGUUCAAGUGUAAGGUCAACAACGGAGCCCUCCCGGCCCCCAUUGAGAAGACCAUCUCCAAGGCCAAAGGGCAGGCCCGGGAGCCACAGGUGUACGUCCUCCCCCCAAGCCAUGCUGAGCUGUCCAGAGAAAGGGUCAUCGUGACCUGCCUGGUCAAAGACUUCUACCCACCUGAUAUCAACGUGGAGUGGCAGAGCAAUGGGCAGCCAGAGCCGGCGGAGAAGUACAGCACCACCCCGCCCCAGAGGGAGGCCAAUGGGUCUUACUUCCUGUACAGCAAGCUCUCGGUGGAGACGAACAGGUGGCAGCAGGGAGACGUGUUCACAUGUGGGGUGAUGCACGAGGCUCUCCACAAUCACUACACGCAGAUAUCCACCACCAAGUCUACGGAGAUGGUCCUGGACGAGAGUUGUGCAGAGGCCCAAGACGGGGAGCUGGACGAGCUGUGGACCACCAUCUCCAUCAUCACGCUCUUCCUGCUCAGUGUGUGCUACAGCGCCACCGUCACCCUCUUCAAGGUGAAGUGGAUCUUCUCCUCUGUGGUGGAGCUGAAGCCGACCAUCGUUCCCGACUACAGGAACACGAUCGGGCAGGGGGCCUAGGGCCACACCUCCUGGGCGGGCUUCCCAGACCGCCCCGGACCCCAGACAGGAUUCGAGUCCUUUGCUUCAUAAUGCUCAGCCUGCCGCCCAGACCUGCUCUGCUGCCCCCUGACCUCGCCGCCCCCUUCAGCCUGCACCCCACCCCUGGCCUCGUGGUCAGCACAGGCUGCAUCCUGCCCCCUGACUUCAUUUGGAGAAGCGAGUGUAAGGCAGUUGUAACCCUGAGCUGAGCUGAUGGACACUCACCGGCCCCUCCAGAGCAGCCACCAAGAAACGCCAGGGUCAUGUGGACGCUGAGUCAUCAGAGCCGAGCGUCCCUCACCACGACUAAUCCGGGGUCCGCGUGUGCCGUCACGCUGGAGGAGGUGGAGGGCCGAAGUGCCCAUGUCUGUCUGGACAGGGACGGGCAUUCAUGCAAACCACAUCCACGCCAGAGUCCAGGACACCGGCUUCCCAGGAGGAGACGUGUGGUUUCAGAUCGCUGAGUGGGAACAUCUGCCACCAACUCCAGUAGGAUAUGGGGCCUUCCGCCACCAACAGAGAAGUUUACAGACAUGCCCCUAAUGGUCACUCAGUCACCGCCUCCCAAGGAGAGCACUCAGAGGAAGGCCUGGGCCAUGGCCACUGCAGGAGCUUGGGUGGUGGGGGCGACACCACCAGGGGAGGGGUGAGUGUCCCGCCAGACGGGCCUCCUGUCCGGCCAGAGGGGUCUAGUGUCCAGGUCACCAAGCAACGAGAAGUGGCCUUGGUGGACAGAGGUGAAGGAGUGCCAGGAGAGCAGCGCCACAGGCACAGCCACCCCGACCUGAUGCCAGCAGGGCCUGAGUCAUGGUCCACAGGAACUCCGGUUGCUCCAUGGCCCAGGGGUGAGAGAGGAGACCCCUCAAUAGAGAGCCUGUGGCCUUGGGGAACUGACCAGGUGGACCAACCUCCAACCUCUAGCCCCACUGGCCCCAGAACAGAUUCGCCCCUCACGUCUCUGAGCAAAUGGCAAGUCGGCAUCUCUAGAUGAGAAAGACACCGAUGCUCACAGGAAGGAGAGGCGGACCCCCACCGUGACUCUGUGGGACAAUGCGCAGAGAGAUUGCUCAAAGAAAGGACACGUUGUAGUUGGGGUAGCUUUUUCCCUUCUUUUUAAAUUUCUGAGGCCCAUUGACUUUCUUUAUUCUUACUUCGUUUAAAACAACAA